UCACGAUCCUGACACAUUAGCGUAGCAAAAAAUCAUGUUCAGUAAUGUCAACAGUGGAAAAUGUUAUGAGAGACAGAGAUCGUCAUUGCGUUUUAAAACUGCUAAAGAUUUUAUAGUGCAACUUGGAGACCUGAUUGACAGGGACGUUUAAGCUCUGACAUGCCAGCUAAUGGGUACUUAACACCUGGUUCAUGUGUGUUAAGAGCUGGGGGAGAGUAAACAUGUGGAUUGGGAGUGCUGAGUUUGGUAAACCCUGCUUCAGUCUGCUAACUAAAACACACAUUAGCUCCGUAAACGUGACGUUAUAACUGUACAAGAUUAACACAGUAGAACAGAUACGUACCAUGGCUUGGAAAUUGAGGGUGGAUCGCCCCCCCAGUUUCUGCAUCGGAUUUACGUAGUUUGAGCUUCGGAAGUCAGCAGGGGCGUGGGGGAAAAUAUCAACAAAAGGAAAGAAUUAGAUUAGAUCAUCUACUCGCUUUCGUUUUGUACAGUGUCACACUGACUUUACUCUUGCUUUACUUUUGUCUGCUAGCGUUGGAGCAAUAGAGGCAACAGAGCUAGCAGGUAGGACUUCCUGUAAGAACAAAAUUCAGCCCACAAAUUGAUUGUACAGCGAACCAAAUAAACCCAAAUGUGUUUGAUGCACGGAAUUCUCAAUUCUGACUGGUCAGUAGGUGUUUUUUUUUUAUUUUUUUUAUCUAUAACUGUAGUGCAUGACAAACUGUGUCUUAUUAACGUCAACAUUAAGAAAAUAAAGAAAGCCUGGUAGGGAAUGACUCAUUAUAGCGGCUAUAAGUUUGUAAGCGUGAAUAGUAAAAGGAACUAUAAACGGAUGAAAAAGAUGGCAUACUGUUCUUUAAUAAAUACAAUGUAAUCGUCAAAAAUAGCUUUCAUUUUUUUUACUCGUCGGCAAAAUGCUGUUGUAUAACGGGAACAAAUCACUUGGGGAUGUGCUCUUAUUGUUGAUCCUUUUCCCAUAGCACACGUUUUAUACAUAUUAUCCAACUCAUAACCAUAUAAACCUGAGCUAACUAACUGGGCAGAAUUAUUUUCAGGUGAAGAUUAAUUGUUUAAUGAGGAAGGGUGUGGCUUAAAGUAAUUAACAUUCUAUAUUAGAUGUGGUUAAUUAUUAGGUAACUUUGCUACCUCAGGAAAACGGGCCAAGAAAGAGAUUUAACUGAGACUGUAAAGUGAAAAAUUGUAAAGUGUUUAUUAGAGGGAUACAGCACACUGCAGACUGUAAAUCUAUUGAGGCAUGACCACCGGAUAAUCAAACACUUUGUUAUGGAAGAAAAAAAACGUGUGGAGAAGAAAAGUUUCAAGUUGACUGGAAAAGACUUCAGAAGAAUAAAACAUGAAGUUACCGGGAAUAAUUGCCUAAUAACUGUGCACACAGUGUAGUGUGCAUUUUGACCAAAUUUGGAGUAAGAUGUUGCGAUUAACCUGCUAUCCGCUAAGCUACAUUAUUUUUCCUUCUUCCUCCUGCCAAGCAAACAAAGUAAUGUUCAAUAUAAAUAAGGGUGAUAUUAAAAGGCUAUAUUUUCCUUACCCCAACACAGCUUGCACAGCUGGAGUCGUCCUCAAUGUGGUCGUCGCAUCUCAGGUGCUUCUUCACGGCUCUGAUCGCAUCGUCAUUGUGCCGGCAAUUCAGCAGACCUUGGUCUUCAUGAUAGAGACAAUCUACAGCAAACACUCUGUCUGUGUUUACACAGAGUCUGCUGUCUGGAACAAUUUCAUCUAGAUUAAACGUGUGGUGGAGCGCCACAAAAACGACAGGCUUAUCCUCUGAGAGAGAGAGAGAGAGAGAGACGAGAGAGAGAGAGAGAGAGAGAGAGGGAGGGAGAGAGAGGGAGAGAGAAAGAGCGAGAGGGAGGGAGAGAGGGAAAGGGAGAGAGAGAGAGAGAUGGAGAGGGAGAGAGAGAGACAGAGAGGGAGGGGAGAGAGAGAGA
Long non-coding RNA from Ictalurus punctatus (channel catfish), 1952 nucleotides. Lineage: Eukaryota; Metazoa; Chordata; Actinopteri; Siluriformes; Ictaluridae. The record is from Ensembl.